Molecule: transfer RNA, 19 nt
Filed under: Odocoileus virginianus (white-tailed deer)
Lineage: Eukaryota; Metazoa; Chordata; Mammalia; Artiodactyla; Cervidae
Description: partial tRNA-Thr
Source: RNAcentral
CACCAUCUCCCUAAGACUC